GUUUCACCCCCAUAGAUCGACAUGCCCUUCGGGCUGGUUCGUACAUGUUCGGGUUUGUUUUUUAUUUUUUUUUAUCUGUACGUUCAAAACAAACAUUGCAUUAUUGAUCAAAAAAUUGUUGACCAAUGUUAUUUUAUAUUUUUUUAAGAGUAAAACAAAUGUACACAAAUAUUUCCUUGUUACUAAUUAUGAGAUUUUCAGGCUUGUGGAGAACAGCUUUUUUUUAUCUACUGUUUGGCUGGCCAAUGUAAAUAAACAAUGAUUUCAUGAAUGCAGCGAGAGAGUUUAUUUGAUGUAUUUUAAAAUCACUGAUAAUAUUUAUUGAUGUAUUUUAAAAUCACUGAUAAUAUUUAUUGAUGUAUUUUAAAAUUACUGAUAAUAUUUGUUUUGUGGCUGGAAGAUGGUAACCAUGGUGACUUGUGAAUUUUUAUGAAGAUUAAUAAAAAGCAGUAAAAAUUAUUAA
This is a long non-coding RNA of Bacillus rossius redtenbacheri, 463 nucleotides long. RefSeq lists it as uncharacterized. The transcript is spliced from 2 exons. Lineage: Eukaryota; Metazoa; Arthropoda; Insecta; Phasmatodea; Bacillidae. The record is from RefSeq and is a predicted model, not a curated record.